AUGCUGGCACUGGAGGCAAUUUAUGGAGACAAUUUAAACAUUCUUGGUGAAAAUUCUGUACCACGGUAUUUCCAGAUCUAUGUAUAUUGCGAAAUUCCAGAUGGUAUCAGUGUGUCCGUGGAACUCCCGGGUGUUGAUGAUUACCCAACCAAAUUUAGUGUCGAGCACUUGGCUCCAAUAUCACUGACAUGCCUUAUGCCUCCAUCUUACCCGAGCCAUCAUUCUCCAUACUUUACUCUCGCAGUACAAUGGUUGGAUAAUGUGAAGAUUUCCUCCCUCUGUGACAUGCUCGACUCGCUCUGGGCGCAGCAACCUGGACAAGAAGUUAUUUUUGAGUGGGUGCAAUGGCUGCAGAGCUCUACGCUCUCUCAUUUUGGUUUUGAUGAUGGAAUAGUAAUACGGGAUUCUGAAAGUACGAUGGAUCAUGUGGAUGUUCGCGUUGUUGGAGAGAUUCUGUCUGUAGAGGAUGUUGUUCAGCAGUUGAUCAACUACAAUGAAGAGCAAUGCCAAGAAUCUUUUCUUCAGGGCUUUCAUGUUUGCGUGAUCUGUUUCAGUGAGUACAAAGGCAUCGACUUCAUUAAACUUCCAUGCCGUCAUUAUUUUUGCCGGAAUUGUAUGGAGACAUACUCACAGAUGCAUGUGAAGGAAGGAUCAGUCAUGAAAAUUGUGUGCCCUGAUGACAAAUGCGGAGGGUUUGUUCCUCCUAAUCUACUGAAGAGGCUGCUAGGAGAGGCAGAUUUUGAACGGUGGGAAAGAUUGUUACUUGAAAGGACUCUAGACGCAAUGGCUGAUGUAGCCUACUGUCCAAGAUGUCAGACAGCUUGCCUGGAAGAUGAGGACAACGCCCAGUGCCCCAAGUGCCUCUUCAGCUUCUGCACCCGCUGCAGAGAUCGUCGUCACAUAGGGGAGAGAUGCCUUACUCCAGAAGAAAAACUUCUCUCCUUGCAGGAACGUGAAAAGGUACGCCACUUAAACAAAGGCGAUACUGGACCUAGUAAAUUGGUGGAUGAAAUAUCUAGUAUCAAGGAAAUACUUCGUUCUUGUGUUCCAUGUCCGCAUUGUGGUACCGGCAUCACACGUGUGUCAGGCUGCAACCACAUGCUUUGUAAGAACUGUGGUAAGUUGUUCUGCUAUGGCUGUGGCAAGCCACUAACUCCUGCUCAUACAAGUGAACAAUGCAGAAUCGAUUAUGAGAAGCGGACAGCGAAGGUGGAUUUGGUUGAUGCUAUCAAAGAGCUACAGAAAAAACUGAAAGUGGGAGGAUACAAACCGCAUCCAUGCCCGAAUUGCCACCUGAUAACUUACAAGCUGGGAAACAACAACCAUGUCUUCUGCGAGGGAUGCCAGGUUCAUCAUUGUGCUCUGUGCCGGAAGGUGGUGCGUAAGAGCUCGGAGCACUAUGGCCCUCGAGGGUGCAAGCAGCACACUGCUGACCCCGAGAUCACUCGGAUUAGACCAAAGAAGAACGAUGACUCUCAAUCAGAAUCCUUGUGA
This 1494-nucleotide ribosomal RNA is filed under the name Triticum aestivum (bread wheat). Its description in RNAcentral is "partial small subunit ribosomal RNA". The record is from RNAcentral. Lineage: Eukaryota; Viridiplantae; Streptophyta; Magnoliopsida; Poales; Poaceae.